Long non-coding RNA from Capsicum annuum, 4803 nucleotides. RefSeq lists it as uncharacterized. The record is from RefSeq and is a predicted model, not a curated record. Lineage: Eukaryota; Viridiplantae; Streptophyta; Magnoliopsida; Solanales; Solanaceae. The transcript is spliced from 2 exons.
GUUGUAAUUUCUCCCUUUAGUACUUUCAUUGAACCUCCUCUACCAAUGGGUGAUGGUGCUCCUAACACACAUUUGCACACAAUGGACGAGGCCUUCAAGAAGCUGCAAGAAACUGUUGAUUCUCACAGUAAAACUUUUGAUUCCAUUAACUCUACACUUCAAGAAAUUAUCUCCAAACCCAGAAUCAGCACACCCAGCCCUCUACAAAAAGCCCAACAACCUCUAACCCCAGUUUUUCUUCCAUACCACCACUACAAAAUUUCUUCUAUCAACAUCUUUCUCCCUCAGCUCUGCAGUUGAAUCCACCACACCAGCCACAAGCCUUUUUGUAAAUCAGAACCCUUGUGGCCCUUUUCGGAGAGAUAAACCAGCACCCAUAGAUUUAGCCCGUGUUGAUGGCCGGUUUGCUGAAAGUUGGAUUUUCCAAGCCAACCAAUACUUUGAUGCUUAUAAUGUCCAUGAUGAACAUCGUUUGAACCUUGUCUCCUUCUAGAUUGAGGGCAUGGCUAGAGACUGGUAUCAAUGGAUGUAUAAGAACCAUCAACUAAUUGGCUGGGAACACUUCACCAAAGCUUUGAUAACUCGUUUUGGUUAUAAAUCCAUGGAAGCACUGGAGGGGAUUUUGGGGAAAUUGCAGAUGACUUCGACUGUUGCUAAGUAUCUUUCUCGAUUUGAGCAGCUUGCUAAUCGCACUACUGAUGCUUCUCCAGAGAUGUUGCGGCAUCUUUUUAUUUCUGGGCUACCUACUGAGAUUAAAAGUGAUGUUUUAUCAUUUAGGCCCAAAUAUAUUCACGAGGCUAUUAGUUUGGCCAUGUUGCAGGAGAAAAAAUUAUUGGCCUAAGUUAAAACACCAACCCGGCCCACUUCUAUCACUAAAAAUAUUUCUCUCUCUUAUCCAACUUCCCAAUCAUCACAACACAAAUCAAUCCCAUCCUUUUCACCCUCUUCUUCCUCCGCUCAGGUAGCUUCACUUCCUGGUAAUAGCAGUGUUCCAUUCAAGAAACUUUCUCCAGUGGAAUUACAACACAAAUGAGAUCUCAAUUUGUGCUUCAACUGUGAUGAAAAAUAUCAAAAGGGCCAUCGAUGUUCUAUAUCUCUACAACUUUUGCUGGUCGUCACUGAAGAGGAUCCAGUGGAGGUACCUCCCCCGCCGGAUAUUGAAUCACCUCCCUUGGAAUCCAAUUUCACCACCCCCACUGAGGAACCGUCCUUCCUUGCCAUCAGUUUUGAAGCCCUUACAGGCAGUUCUUAUCCUACUGCUCUCCGUUUUACAGGUCAUAUUAAAGGCCUGCUGGCUCAAAUUCUACUUAAUGGGGGUAGCACUGAUAUGGUGCAGAUAUGGUAUUGGGUAUGGCAUAGAUCGCAACUCUUGGUUGGACUAUUUUAGAUUAUUCCAAACUCCUAUUUGAGUUUGAGAGUAAUAGAAAACGUAUUACUUGGUUCGGAAAUCCUCCAAUCUCACUAGAGCAGGUUUAACCUUCAGCUCUUCAUCGCUUCGCUAUGACGGACUCCAUUGUUUAUAUGUACCGGCUCGAGCUACUCUCUCCGGAGACAUCUAUUGAACAAGACCAUCCUCCUGAUCUUCAAGUCAUAUUAUCAUCCUAUAAUGAGGUAUCCAUAUUUUUAGAAGGGCGAGAUUGAACGCAUGGUCUCCGAGAUGCUUCACUCAAGUGUGAUUCGACACAGCUCUAGCCCUUAUUUCUCACCUGUUCUUUUGGUGAGAAAAAAAUAUAGCACAUGGCGCUUUUGCAUCGACUAUAGGGCAUUGAACUCCAUCAAAGUUAAAGAUUAUUUUCCUAUUCCCACAGUUGAUGAAUUAUUUAGUGAACUCCAUAAUGCCCGUUUCUCCUCCAAGUUGGACUUAUUAGCUAGAUACCAUCAAAUCUGUGUCCAUCAGGAUGAUAUAGAAAAGACAGCCUUCCAAACUCAUGAUGGUCAUUUUGAGUUCUUUGUCAUUCCCUUCGGCCUUUCAAAUGCCCCAUCCAUCUUUCAAGCUACAAUGAACUCCAUAUUCAAGCCCUUCCUUCACCAAUUUGUCCUUGUCUUCUCCGAUGACAUAUUAGUUUACAGUCAGUCUGGCAGGAUCAUCUUUCUUACUUGCAGAAUGUUUUUGAGUUGUUCAAGAGGAAUUUUUUGGUGGUUAAACAGUCUAAAUGCCAAUUUUGAUAGACUUCUAUUACAUACUUAGGUCAUAUUAUUUCUUUCAGCGGCUUUCAAGUUGACCUCGAUAAAAUUCGGUCUAUUGCAUCAUGGCCGCUACCUUUCUCUCUUAAAGAAGUUCGUGGGUUUUGGGCUUGAUGGGUUAUUAUCGGCAAUUUGUAAAGGGAUAUGCCCAACUUGUUUCCCCACUCACAAACCUUCUAAAAAAGGAUUCCUUUGUUUGGUCUGAUAGCGCAUCCACAAUGUUUUUUGACCUCAAAUGAGACCUUAGUUCUGUUCCAGUUCUUGCAUUGCCAGAUUUCUCAAAAGUGUUCUCUGUGGAAACCGAUGCCUCUGGUACUGGAAUUGGAGCAGUGUUAUCUCAAAAAGGGCACCCCAUUGCUUUUUUAGUCAAAAAUUAUCUCCCAGGAUCCAAGCAGCUUCCACUUACACGAGGGAAAUGUUUUCUAUUACCCAAGCUGUCCAAAAAUGGCGUCAAUACCUUUUGGGUUGCAAAUUCAUCAUCAUCACUGAUCAACAGCCGCUGAAAUAUCUUACGAGUCAAGUGAUUCAAGCACCAGAACAACAACAAUGGCUAUGUAAGUUGAUUGGUUAUGACUUUGAGAUUGUUCUAUUGGCCAGGGAAAUUGAAUUCAGCUGUUGAUGCCUUAUCCAGGAAACCAGCCUUAAUGGAUCUCACUGUGGCUAUCACAGAAUGGCUUUGGUUGACAAACUCAAGCAUUUGAACAAAACUGAUACUUAUUUACUUCAACUCUAGCAUUAGUUGCACGAUGAUCCUGACUCCAUGCCUCACUUCACCUUCCAAGAAGGUCUGCUUCUUUUUCGUAAGCGUCUGAUUAUUCCCCCGGACCCGGGACUAAAACGUUUGCUCUUAGAAGAAUUUCAUUCUUCUAAAAUUAGAGGUCAUGCUGGUAUUAUGUGAUCUUUUCACUGCCUUUCAUCCAAUUUCUUUUGGCCGGGUAUGCGCAAGGAUGUCAAGCAGUUCGUCCUACAGUGCCAAGUCUGCCAGUAAAUGAAGGAUACACAUUCGAAACCUGCUGGACUUCUUCUUCCACUUUCUAUACCUGCUUUAAUUUUUGAGGAUAUUUCUAUGGAUUUCAUCACUGGACUCCCACCUUCUCAAGGUCGUACAGUCAUUCUGGUAAUUGUGGACAGGUUGUCAAAAUAUGGCCAUUUUAUCUCCUUGCCCCUAAAAUUCACUAGUCACAAGAUUGCGAAAGUGUUUGUCCAAGAAUAUAUUCAACUACAUGGCUUUCCUUCCUCAAUUGUUUCAGACGACGAUCCUAUUUUCUUGUCUGAUUUUUGGGCUAAGAUCAAUAGACUUCAAGGGACUAAAUUAGCCAAGAGUUUUGCUUAUCACCCACAAGUAGAUGGACAAACAGAGGCUCUUAACAAGUGUCUUGAGAUGUAUCUUCUAUGUUUUGCUGUGGAUAUCCCUGCUACUUGGUUUCUCCUACUCCCGUGGGCUGAAUUUUGGUACAAUACUUCAUACCAACAUAGCUCUAAGCUUACCCCUUUUGAAAUUAUUUAUGGUCGGCCUCCCCCAAUAGUAACUUGAUACAUCAGGAAUGACACUUCCAAUCCAGAUGUGAUAGAGUCUCUUUUUCACCGAGAUAAAACGUUGUCCCUCUUGAAGUCCAACUUGCAGGCUACCCAAGAAUGUAUGAAGUGGAAUACUGACAAAGGACGCAAAGAUGUAAUCUUUGAGAUUGGAGAUUGGGUAUAUGUUCGAUUAUGUCCCUAUAGGCAUCUCUUUAUUCGCCUUUAGCGCCAUACAAAACUUAGUCAAAGAUUCUUUGGUCUAUUUAAGGUGCUCCAUCUUGUGAGUGAGGUUGCCUACAAACUGGAUCUCCCAUCUUCCUCAAAAAUACACCCUGUCUUUCAUGUUUUGGUUCUGUGAAAAUGUUGAGGGAACCCAGAUCAACAGGUUACUCCCAUUGAUCUUAUCGACCAAAACUCAUCUCUGCGGCUCACACCUGAGGACAUUUUGGAGCAUCGUAUUAUCACAAAGGAAGGGAAUCAAAUAACCCAGUUCUUGGUCAAAUGGAAAGGGUUGCCUCCUUCUAAGGCCACUUGGGAAGACCUUCCUACACUGACUCAUCAGUUUCCAGACUUGAACCUUGAGGACAAGGUUCGUCUUUAUGGGGGUGGAAAUGUAACAAACCCGCAGGACCACUCGAGUACAUUGAGGAGCAGCAGUAGGGACAAACAGUCCCCAAAAUACCUAGUUAAGUAUGUGGUCCCAAAGGCCAACAGAGGACCACUACCUCUGUCAAAUACUACUGCACAUAUUGCACCAGCUUUCCAAGAAACAUCCAAAUGAAUACCCUGCUAUAUAAACAUCACAAGAGCUUUAGAGGAGGGAAUGGAAGAACUUGCAUCUUAUUUUCUUAGCUAAACUUUUAGCAAUUUGGAAUCUCUCUUUUCUAUUUUCCUUUUUUAUCUAUCUUUUGCCUUGUUUUCCCUAAGUUGAGAAUUGCUACAUUGUAAUUUCUCCCUAUCAGUGAAUACAAUUUUGAAUCAUUCUAGAAUGUACAAAGGAAAAUCUAUUAACUACUUGCUAAUGUUGGAGUUGUAUGUUGUAUACCCCCAACUGAUUAAUUAUCUCAAUUUGAAGAUGAAGAAACUAAUUUGUAAGCUUCA